RNAcentral lists this unclassified non-coding RNA (255 nucleotides) under fungal sp. RNAcentral describes it as "partial internal transcribed spacer region". The stretch from base 1 to 46 matches the Rfam family "Eukaryotic small subunit ribosomal RNA", at positions 1786 to 1831 of the family's 1831-position model. Lineage: Eukaryota; Fungi. The record is from RNAcentral.
AAGUCGUAACAAGGUUUCCGUAGGUGAACCUGCGGAAGGAUCAUUAUGGGAAUUUUUAGAAGUAUGAUUGUGAAGAGGUGUGUGAUUGCUGGAGGGUGAAUGAAUGGAUUGAUUACCGGGGGGUAAUUGAUUGAUUGCUGGGGGCACACACACAAAAUAACAAGAACGAUAGUAGUAGUAGUAAUUAGUGCUUCAAAGAGGAGCACAACAACAAAAACAAAAAUACAACUUUUAACAAUGGAUCUCUAGGCUCUU